RNAcentral lists this ribosomal RNA (465 nucleotides) under Vreelandella stevensii. RNAcentral's name for it is "partial 16S ribosomal RNA". It matches the Rfam family "Bacterial small subunit ribosomal RNA", at positions 338 to 795 of the family's 1533-position model. The record is from RNAcentral. Lineage: Bacteria; Pseudomonadati; Pseudomonadota; Gammaproteobacteria; Oceanospirillales; Halomonadaceae.
CCUACGGGUCGCAGCAGUGGGGAAUAUUGGACAAUGGGCGAAAGCCUGAUCCAGCCAUGCCGCGUGUGUGAAGAAGGCCUUCGGGUUGUAAAGCACUUUCAGUGGGGAAGAAAGCCUUGGGGCUAAUACCCUCGAGGAAGGACAUCACCCACAGAAGAAGCACCGGCUAACUCCGUGCCAGCAGCCGCGGUAAUACGGAGGGUGCGAGCGUUAAUCGGAAUUACUGGGCGUAAAGCGCGCGUAGGCGGUCUGAUAAGCCGGUUGUGAAAGCCCCGGGCUCAACCUGGGAACGGCAUCCGGAACUGUCAGGCUAGAGUGCAGGAGAGGAAGGUAGAAUUCCCGGUGUAGCGGUGAAAUGCGUAGAGAUCGGGAGGAAUACCAGUGGCGAAGGCGGCCUUCUGGACUGACACUGACGCUGAGGUACGAAAGCGUGGGUAGCAAACAGGAUUAGAUACCCCUGUAGUC